UGUUCUUCUUUUCCAGGACUGGGUUUUCCUCACUCGCUUCUGCUUUCUCACUGACUUUGGCCGCUUGGACUUCAGAUUUCGUUAUCCAAAGUCUUGGUGCUGUCAGAACAUAUUGCUGUAUUUUGAUGAUAGCUCGCAGUGGCCAGCUGUGUACAAGAGGCCGGAAAAGAACUGCUACCAAAAAGAGGCAGUGCUGAGGCCUGAGAACAACCAGGUCAUCAACCUCACCACACGCUACACCUGGUCAGGCUGUGUGGUGGAGGGAGAUGGUAACGAGGAGGUGCUCAGCUGCGUGGGA
Long non-coding RNA from Thalassophryne amazonica, 298 nucleotides. RefSeq lists it as uncharacterized. The transcript has 4 exons. The record is from RefSeq and is a predicted model, not a curated record. NCBI's taxonomy places the organism in Eukaryota, Metazoa, Chordata, Actinopteri, Batrachoidiformes, Batrachoididae.